Molecule: transfer RNA, 86 nt
Filed under: Chitinophagaceae bacterium
Lineage: Bacteria; Pseudomonadati; Bacteroidota; Chitinophagia; Chitinophagales; Chitinophagaceae
Also listed under: 4 other names
Description: tRNA-Leu
Rfam family: tRNA
About the family: Transfer RNA (tRNA) molecules are approximately 80 nucleotides in length. Their secondary structure includes four short double-helical elements and three loops (D, anti-codon, and T loops).
Source: RNAcentral
ACUCGGGUGGUGGAACUGGUAGACACGCAGGACUUAAAAUCCUGUUCGCAGUAAUGCGAGUGACGGUUCAAUUCCGUUCCCGAGUA